AUGGAAAAUCUUCGAACUGAAGACCCAAUCCAACAUCAAUUUCUUCGAAUCCGACAUGGAAACUGAAAACCCAGAAUAAUCUCAACCAUCUCACCUCGCAAAAUAGAAAACCCUAUUCCAGCCAAACGAUGUUGGACUCAAUCUCAAUCUGUAUCUUGGUCUUAGUCUGAGUUCGCAUCUAUCACUGGCGAUUGCAUUGGGUAGCAGCACAAGUGAUUCAGGCGGAGGCUGUUAUUUCUUUAAUCCAG
RNAcentral lists this long non-coding RNA (248 nucleotides) under Rosa chinensis. RNAcentral describes it as "sRNA RchiOBHm_Chr7g0199841". The record is from RNAcentral. Lineage: Eukaryota; Viridiplantae; Streptophyta; Magnoliopsida; Rosales; Rosaceae.